Molecule: ribosomal RNA, 253 nt
Filed under: uncultured bacterium
Lineage: Bacteria
Description: partial 16S ribosomal RNA
Rfam family: Bacterial small subunit ribosomal RNA
Source: RNAcentral
UACGAAGGGGGCUAGCGUUGCUCGGAAUUACUGGGCGUAAAGGGCGCGUAGGCGGAUAGUUUAGUCAGAGGUAAAAGCCCAGGGCUCAACCUUGGAACUGCCUUUGAUACUGGCUAUCUUGAGUACGGGAGAGGUGUGUGGAACUCCGAGUGUAGAGGUGAAAUUCGUAGAUAUUCGGAAGAACACCAGUGGCGAAGGCGACACACUGGCCCGUUACUGACGCUGAGGCGCGAAAGCGUGGGGAGCAAACAGG